RNAcentral lists this ribosomal RNA (492 nucleotides) under uncultured bacterium. RNAcentral's name for it is "partial 16S ribosomal RNA". It matches the Rfam family "Bacterial small subunit ribosomal RNA", at positions 29 to 507 of the family's 1533-position model. The record is from RNAcentral.
AGUGAACGCUGGCGGUAGGCCUAACACAUGCAAGUCGAACGGCAGCACAGUAAGAGCUUGCUCUUACGGGUGGCGAGUGGCGGACGGGAGAGGAAUACAUCGGAAUCUACUUUUUCGUGGGGGAUAACGUAGGGAAACUUACGCUAAUACCGCAUACGACCUACGGGUGAAAGCAGGGGAUCUUCGGACCUUGCGCGAUUGAAUGAGCCGAUGUCGGAUUAGCUAGUUGGCGGGGUAAAGGCCCACCAAGGCGACGAUCCGUAGCUGGUCUGAGAGGAUGAUCAGCCACACUGGAACUGAGACACGGUCCAGACUCCUACGGGAGGCAGCAGUGGGGAAUAUUGGACAAUGGGCGCAAGCCUGAUCCAGCCAUACCGCGUGGGUGAAGAAGGCCUUCGGGUUGUAAAGCCCUUUUGUUGGGAAAGAAAAGCAGCAGGUGAAUACCCCGCUGUUCUGACGGUACCCAAAGAAUAAGCACCGGCUAACUUCGUG